GGUAGCAUGGUCCAGUGGUAAGAUUUCUGCUUCGGGUGCAGGAGAUCCGGGUUCGAUUCCUGGUGCUACUA
RNAcentral lists this transfer RNA (71 nucleotides) under Spraguea lophii 42_110. It matches the Rfam family "tRNA". Rfam says of the family: Transfer RNA (tRNA) molecules are approximately 80 nucleotides in length. Their secondary structure includes four short double-helical elements and three loops (D, anti-codon, and T loops). The record is from Rfam by way of RNAcentral. Lineage: Eukaryota; Fungi; Microsporidia; Spragueidae.